CCAGGCCAAUGAGAGCUCUCUUCACUUCUCACCAUAGCAGCUUCAAUAUGUAUUUUCCCCAAGCUCAUCUUUCCAAGAACACAUGGUAGAAACAGCAGAGGAGACAACAACAUGAAGUUUACCGUUUGUCCCAGGAUGCAUGGAGAGACCUAUCAGGCUCAAGCAGAAUUCAAGAAAUAGAGACUGAUUGACACUUUUUGCCAAAGCACUGCAAGAGUAAAAUAAAGAGGAAAAAAUCUCUGCAAAGACAUCAAACAACUGUUCAGAGGUGGUAGGAAUUAAUUCAGUGAUACAAAUAUGCUCC
Molecule: long non-coding RNA, 304 nt
Organism: Pipra filicauda (Wire-tailed manakin)
Lineage: Eukaryota; Metazoa; Chordata; Aves; Passeriformes; Pipridae
Exons: 3
Source: RefSeq, a predicted model, not a curated record